Molecule: ribosomal RNA, 252 nt
Filed under: uncultured bacterium
Lineage: Bacteria
Description: partial 16S ribosomal RNA
Rfam family: Bacterial small subunit ribosomal RNA
Source: RNAcentral
CGUAGGUGCAAGCGUUGUCCGGAAUUAUUGGGCGUAAAGAGCUCGUAGGCGGUUGUCGCGUCUGGUGUGAAAGUCCAUCGCUUAACGGUGGAUUGGCGCUGGGUACGGGCAGGCUAGAGUGUAGUAGGGGAGACUGGAAUUCUCGGUGUAACGGUGGAAUGUGUAGAUAUCGGGAAGAACACCAAUGGCGAAGGCAGGUCUCUGGGCUAUUACUGACGCUGAGGAGCGAAAGCGUGGGGAGCGAACAGGAUU